Molecule: ribosomal RNA, 433 nt
Filed under: uncultured bacterium
Lineage: Bacteria
Description: partial 16S ribosomal RNA
Rfam family: Bacterial small subunit ribosomal RNA
Source: RNAcentral
AACGAACGCUGGCGGCAUGCCUAACACAUGCAAGUCGAACGAGACCUUCGGGGCUCGGGGCGCACGGGUGCGUCACGCGGGGGCACCUGCCCAUAGGCUCGGUAUCACCCCCCGACAGGGGUUCUAACAGCGGGUAACGUCUUCGGGCCAAAGAUUUAUCGUCUUUGUCUGGGCCCGCGUUGGAUUAGCUAGUUGGGAGGGUAAAAGCCUGCCAAGGCGACGAUCCAUAGCUGGUCUGAGAGGAUGAUCAGCCACACUGGGACUGAGACACGGCCCAGACUCCUACGGGAGGCAGCAGUGGGGAAUAUUGGACAAUGGGCGAAAGCCUGAUCCAGCCAUGCCGCGUGAGUGAUGAAGGCCUUAGGGUUGUAAAGCUCUUUUACCCGGGAUGAUAAUGACGGUACCGGGAGAAUAAGCCCCGGCUAACUCCGUG